GACGAACGCUGGCGGCGUGCUUAACACAUGCAAGUCGAACGGAAAGCGCUCUUCGGAGUGACUCGAGUGGCGAACGGGUGAGUAACACGUGGGUGAUCUGCCCUGCACUUUGGGAUAAGC
This 120-nucleotide ribosomal RNA is filed under the name uncultured bacterium. RNAcentral describes it as "partial 16S ribosomal RNA". It matches the Rfam family "Bacterial small subunit ribosomal RNA", at positions 28 to 148 of the family's 1533-position model. The record is from RNAcentral.